RNAcentral lists this long non-coding RNA (240 nucleotides) under Nicotiana benthamiana. RNAcentral describes it as "long non-coding RNA (NBEN_LNC032768)". Lineage: Eukaryota; Viridiplantae; Streptophyta; Magnoliopsida; Solanales; Solanaceae. The record is from RNAcentral.
AAUAGGAAAAUCUGGAGGUCUAGUAUCAGGGUUGUAGGAUAGGGGCCCCUAGAGUUUUUCGUACUACUCACCCGGGGUUAGGUGAGACUUGACAGGGCUAUCCAUAGAUGUUAUUGUGUUUUGGAUUGUGUCUCCCUUAUGGUAGUUAUUUAUGGUAGUUAUUGUAUGAUGUUAUUGCAUGCUAUUUAUUUAUAAUUCUUAUGUUUAGAUAGUUAUUUAUGCUAUUUCUGCUGGACUUAC